Molecule: unclassified non-coding RNA, 208 nt
Filed under: uncultured fungus
Lineage: Eukaryota; Fungi
Description: sequence contains ITS1, 5.8S rRNA gene
Rfam family: 5.8S ribosomal RNA (bases 160-208)
Source: RNAcentral
UCUCCGUUGGUGAACCAGCGGAGGGAUCAUUAUUGAGUUCUACAACUCCCUAAACCAUGUGAACAUUACCUCUGUUGCCUCGGCGGGCUCGCCCGCCAGAGGACCCAAACUCUGUCUGUAUCAGAAGCAUGUCUGAGUGGCGCAAGCAAAUCAAAUCAAAACUUUCAACAACGGAUCUCUUGGUUCUGGCAUCGAUGAAGAACGCAGC